Molecule: long non-coding RNA, 3644 nt
Organism: Heterocephalus glaber (naked mole-rat)
Lineage: Eukaryota; Metazoa; Chordata; Mammalia; Rodentia; Bathyergidae
Source: Ensembl
CACACACACACACACACACACACACACACACACACACACACAGAGCAAUGUCAGGGUUAGCUGAUGUCUGUGAGUCAACACAAUCUUACAUUUGCUCAGCAACCGGUGUGUUCUUGUGCGGAUUGAACCUAGCACAGUAGAAUUCUUGGCACAUGGCAGCAAUGAAUGUUUUUUGGUUACCUAUCAAAAUGCAAACAUGGGUGUUGUGCAGAGUGCCAGAUAAAGGCAAGUAAAAAGUGUGAGAGAAAAAAUAAUGAAAAUAGCUUAACCAAUUACUACUCAGGUCUGGGAUUUGAGUUUAUUUUACUGAUAGAUAAUAAAUUAGUCUCUUGCUGUUUCAUGGGUGCUGUAAAAGACACAAGAUUCCUGGUUCAGAGGCAAAGGACUACUAGUCACAGCACAGGAAGCAACUCAUGCAUUAGCACAUUUGUGUCAGUUCCUCUUGCCUGCCAGGUACCAUGUGAAUGAAAUAAAGGUCUCAGGUGAAUGUUAUUUAGUGGAUUUACAUCACAGCUAGAGAACACUGAGCAUGGGGAAGCUGCCAUUUUAUGGGAAGCAGUAAGAAAACCUGUUCUGUAUCCUGGACGGAGACAUUAUUUCAUCUCUCAGGGUUGCUUACUACAAACACAACCCACACCCCUGAGAAAAGACAUUGGUAAAAAGCAGUCAAGAUGGGGUGCAUUCUUGGCACACCCUGGAAGAUGAGACGCAUGAGGGGCCAUCUCUCUCAACAUGACUAUUGGCCAAACUCUAUUCUAAGCACUUUACCUCUGUUAUCUCAUUAAAUCCUUACAACCCUAUAAUGUCCCCUAUUUUAUAGAUGAAUAAGGAUGCAUAGUGAAGUCACAGCUAAUAAACAAGGAAUCCAGGAGAAGCAUGGGUCUGAUGACUUGUAAAAUCCACAAGCAACCCCCUAAAAAAAGUUAUUGACUGUGUUAGCCUUCUCCAGAAUUGCUGGAGGGCAGGGGAGAUGGACCUAGUAAAAAAAAAUUAGGAGAGCUCACAAGAUGUGAGAUGAGGAUUCAAAGUCAUUAUAAUUAGAACAUUAAAAUGAGUGUGACCUUAUUUUACAACCAACCUAAUGAAGAAGGAUCUUGAUUAGUUACACAAAUAUGAAAAUAAUAAAGUUGGAAUAAGAGUUUUGCUCCAAAAUUAUAAUGAAAUUUGGUUUGGACCUGAAUCAUUGGGUUUAACUGGGAUGUGAAGGGACUUAGCCUACUAAAUCAGGUGUCAGGCAAAGGAAAAGGAAGGGAACCGUCAUUAAAAGAGCUAGCUUUUUCAUUUAGUUACUUAAUAAAAAUAUACCGAAUGCCUGUUUUGUUCUAGGAUUUGUAACUGGCUGGUGAUGCAGAGGUGAAUAAAUAGCUACAAACUCCCACGGGCAAUAGCACAGAGCCAAACUUGGCAGUUCCCCUUCUAGGAGCUCCUUCUACUGUUACACUUGCACACAUGUAAAAGGACAUUUUUGUGAAGUUACAUUCAGUGAAGUCAUUUUUUAUUUUUUUAAAAAAGAUUGGAAACAACCUAGUAGUCAUAGGUUAAAUUAUGAUCCAUCCACAGUGGAAAACGGAAUCACUGUAAACAGAGCAUGAGGAAACUCUUCGUGCGCUGAUGCAGAAUAAUCUCGUGGAGACCGAACAUGGUUAAGUGAAACAAGGUACAGCACAGGCUAUGGAACAGAAUAGCAUCAGAGUAUAAAAGAGGAACCUUAUAUGUGUUUAUAUUGUUAGAAGUAUACACACCAAAUUGGUAACGCUGGUGGCCACUGAGAAGGGAGACUGGUCUGCUGGGCUGGGGAGAGUUUGGAGGUAGAUUUUUCACUUUAUUCUGUUUGUUACUGUUUUCUAACCACUAAAUUUUCAGCUAGAUGAAUGUUUUACCUAUUGAAAAAAAUAUGUACAUAAAAUACCCAAGAAGGAUCAAACUGGAAGAAAAAGUAGUAGGAUCACCAAAAUUACAAAAUAAAAUGAAACACCAUUACUGUGCUCAAGAACUCAGUCUAGCAGGAGAGACAGCAAAAGACAAAAUAAUUACGACACAGUGUAAUGAUGGUGGUGACAGAGGCCUGCAAGCACCCAGGGUGAGGAGUUAGGGAAGCUGUUUUGUGAAAUGGGAGAGCUGAGCUGAGUUAUCCACAAGAGGAGUCGUCGAGGCAGAGGCAGGGCAUUUCUGACAAGGAGAAUGGCAUGUGCAGAGAUUUGAAAGGGCCCAGUGUGGUCUGAGGCCAUCCAGUCAGCAGGAUGGGCACGGAGAGAACAGGGCAGAAAGUGGGUGGGGCAGGUGGGCAAGAGUCACCUGGAGUGUAGUGUCCAGGAGUUUGGAUUUCAUUUCUAAGAAUUUAGGAGCCUCUGAAAGCUUUUAGACAGAACAGCUGUAUUAUGGGGUCUGUGCUUCAGCAAGUUCAUUCUGCAGGAUGUGUGGAGAAUGAAUUGAGAUAGGAAGAUCAGCUAAGAAGCAAUAGCGGUGAUUCAGGUCACUGGGACUUCGGCCUGCACCGCUGCGCCCAUCCAGGUCUCGGCACACAGUGGAGCCGCCCGCCCUCGGAAACAGCACCCAGACGGGCGAGCAGAGCGCUUCCCAUCCAGAGCUGGUUUGUUGUCAGUGGAAGUAUUGUUGAGAAACUAGGCUCAAAUAACAAGCAGGCCGCAAUCACGCUGCUAGUUAAUAGCAAAACUGGUCUUUGAACCCAGAUGUUCUGACCCCAAGGCCAGGACACUUUCUUCACUAUCACGCUUCCUUGUGGUUAAAUAAGAAAGAAUCCCUCCUGCUCUGCUCGGUCUGCAGGGUCAGUAGCUUUCCAUGGCCUUCCUGAGUAGGAAUUCCUGCUUAGGUGAGAACCAAGCGUCUUCACUUGCGCUCGCUGGUCCUCCAGGUCCCUCCUUUCUGUUUCCUCUUUGCAGGUCUGCAGCCCUCGCUGUGCCCUCCAUCCACCUCCUCGAGGACUCCACUUCGCUCUGCCAGUUUGAGCAAAAAUACCCAUAUUUUUCUCAGCCUCUGUGUAGUUUCCCAGAGGACUCUGGUCUUUCUUUGGGUUAUGUGCCCCUCCUUGGAUUGGUUAUCUGAGCAGAUAUGAUUAUCCCACCCUGGAUCACAUGCCUGGGGCACAGGCCUAGAGGCAGGCUCGCUUGGGAAACUGUAGACAGCGCAGUUUACCACACGUUUAACUUCAGCGACCAUUUACGUCAGAGGAAUGGCAUCAGAAAGCAGGACAAGGUGCUGUAAGAGCCAGCCCUUGUCUUGACAAUGGGAAACCCAGAAAAUCGCAGAGAAUGGUGUGUGGAAAAGUGAGAGAACCACAUGGUAUGAAGACCACCAGGUGAAGAACUUUGAAGUGCUACAACCAGAAAGUGCUGACGGAGAGCCAACAUGAUUCCUUCCACACAGAGCUGAGAAGUAAUACAAUAGGUCGGGUCUCCCCAUAAUAAAACAAAACAAAUAAACAGGAAACCAGUGGGGUUUCUGAGUUGUGGUCAUCAUCUGAUGGAAAAGAAUGUGAGACUUGGGUCAUCUGCAUGUUCCUGUUUAGUUUUAACCCUGUCAUUAAGAAGCUUUUGGGCCAGGGAUUUAGCCCAGUGGUUUCGCCGCCUGCUGCGCAAGUGCAAGGACCUGAGUUCAAUCUCCAGUAUCAAAAAAAAAAAAGAAGC